This 422-nucleotide unclassified non-coding RNA is filed under the name soil metagenome. RNAcentral's name for it is "partial contains 5.8S ribosomal RNA, internal transcribed spacer 2, and large subunit ribosomal RNA". The stretch from base 1 to 120 matches the Rfam family "5.8S ribosomal RNA", at positions 35 to 154 of the family's 154-position model. The record is from RNAcentral.
GAUGAAGAACGUAGCGAAAUGCGAUACGUAAUGUGAAUUGCAGAAUUCAGUGAAUCAUCGAAUCUUUGAACGCAUAUUGCGCUCUUUGGUAUUCCGAAGAGCAUGCUUGUUUGAGUAUCAGUAAACACCUCAACCUCUUCUUGAUUUUUCAAAAGGAGGGUGGACUUGAGCUAUCCCAACAACCUUUACCGGUCGGCGGGCGGCUUGAAAUGCAGGUGCAGCUGGACUUUUAUCUGAGCUAAAAGCAUAUCUAUUUAGUCCUCGUCAAACAGGAUUAUUACUUUUGCUGCAGCUAACAUAAAGGAUAAUUGUCCUCUUUGCUGACUGAUGCAGGAUUUUACGACACUUUAUGUGUUGUUCAACUCGAUCUCAAAUCAAGUAAGACUACCCGCUGAACUUAAGCAUAUCAAUAAGCGGAAGGA